AACGCUAGCUACAGGCUUAACACAUGCAAGUCGAGGGGCAGCAUGGUCUUAGCUUGCUAAGGCCGAUGGCGACCGGCGCACGGGUGAGUAACACGUAUCCAACCUGCCGUCUACUCUUGGACAGCCUUCUGAAAGGAAGAUUAAUACAAGAUGGCAUCAUGAGUCCACAUGUUCACAUGAUUAAAGGUAUUCCGGUAGACGAUGGGGAUGCGUUCCAUUAGAUAGUAGGCGGGGUAACGGCCCACCUAGUCUUCGAUGGAUAGGGGUUCUGAGAGGAAGGUCCCCCACAUUGGAACUGAGACACGGUCCAAACUCCUACGGGAGGCAGCAGUGAGGAAUAUUGGUCAAUGGGCGAGAGCCUGAACCAGCCAAGUAGCGUGAAGGAUGACUGCCCUAUGGGUUGUAAACUUCUUUUAUAAAGGAAUAAAGUCGGGUAUGGAUACCCGUUUGCAUGUACUUUACGAAUAAGGAUCGGCUAACUCCGUGCCAGCAGCCACGGUAAUACGGAGGAUCCGAGCGUUAUCCGGAUUUAUUGGGUUUAAAGGGAGCGUAGAUGGAUGUUUAAGUCAGUUGUGAAAGUUUGCGGCUCAACCGUAAAAUUGCAGUUGAUACUGGAUAUCUUGAGUGCAGUUGAGGCAGGCGGAAUUCGUGGUGUAGCGGUGAAAUGCUUAGAUAUCACGAAGAACUCCGAUUG
This 694-nucleotide ribosomal RNA is filed under the name uncultured bacterium. RNAcentral describes it as "bacterial SSU rRNA". It matches the Rfam family "Bacterial small subunit ribosomal RNA", at positions 32 to 715 of the family's 1533-position model. The record is from RNAcentral.